This 73-nucleotide transfer RNA is filed under the name Strongylocentrotus purpuratus (purple sea urchin). It matches the Rfam family "tRNA". From Rfam's summary of the family: Transfer RNA (tRNA) molecules are approximately 80 nucleotides in length. Their secondary structure includes four short double-helical elements and three loops (D, anti-codon, and T loops). Lineage: Eukaryota; Metazoa; Echinodermata; Echinoidea; Camarodonta; Strongylocentrotidae. The record is from Rfam by way of RNAcentral.
GGCAUGGUGGCUCAGUGGUUAGAGCACCCGCCUCAUGAUCGGGUGGUCGUGGGUUCGAACCCCGGCCGAGUCA